This is a non-coding RNA of Schistosoma mansoni, 72 nucleotides long. Lineage: Eukaryota; Metazoa; Platyhelminthes; Trematoda; Strigeidida; Schistosomatidae. The record is from Rfam.
UACCAGGUGAUUUAGUGGUUAGAAUUCCUGGUUUUCACCCAGGCGGCUCAGGUUCGAUUCAUGGAGCGGUAG